AGCUUUUUGAAUCCGUGCUGAGAUUUCGUCAGACACCAAUCCAUUAAUACUGAUCAGACUACCACGACAAGUGAAGCU
Molecule: non-coding RNA, 78 nt
Organism: Schistosoma mansoni
Lineage: Eukaryota; Metazoa; Platyhelminthes; Trematoda; Strigeidida; Schistosomatidae
Source: Rfam